AUGGAGGAGAUGCCAAGCGAGAAGAAACAAAGUGAAUCUGGAUCAAUUAAUUGCGCACCUAGUUCAAGCAGCAGCCAGGGCAUUCCCAAUUCACUGGUGAAUAAAGAUGAAGACCUCGCUAUUGGGGUGGUAACAGAGUUAAAGAAGGAGGGGACGCCCAUUGAACAGAAGGAGGAAAGGGCGUCAACGGCUAUUGACUUGAAGGAGGAGGGUACAGCCACCCAACUGAAGGAGGAAGGGGCUUCCAAGGAGGAUGAGGCAGCUGUUGACUCCAAGGAAGAGGGGGCGAAAACCGAAUUGGAGGAAAAGAUGAUGUUAUCCCAGAAGAGAGACUAUGAGAAGGCUAUCGAACUUAAGGGAGAGGGGACAAAGCUAUUCCAGAGGCGGGAUUAUGAGGGGGCGGCCCUUGAGUUUGAUAAGGCAAUAAAGCUCUUGCCAAAGGGGCACGAUGAUAUCGCCUUCCUCCACUGCAAUAUUGCUGCAUGUUACAUGCAUAUGAAACCUGAGAGUUAUGAACGAGCGGUUGACGAGUGCAACGCAGCACUGGAAGCAUCGCCGAAGUAUACAAAUGCAUUGCUGAAAAGGGCACGAUGCUUUGAAGCAUUGGAUAGGCUGGAUCUGGCUUGUGAGGAUGUGCAGAAGGUGCUGAACUUGGAACCAAACAAUGUCACUGCAUUGGAGCUCUACGAGAGCCUUAGGGAGGAGAUGGAGACAGAAAAUUUGUUGGAGAAUCAGGUUGUGUCACCGGUAGAGCCUAAGGCCGGUUUUUCAAAAGAGAAGAUCCAGAGGAAAGUAUCUCGCAGAUUUAGAAACAAUUCCAUAGUUGAGGAGGUGUGGUUGAUUCACGAUGAUGAUGAGCAAGAGAAUGAUGAAGAUGGCAACGAAGAAGAGUGCAGUGAAGAAAACCACAUGGAGAAUGAUUUAAGCAAUGAAGGAAAUGAUACCCGGGAGAUGCCAUCGAGGCAUAAUCAUGACGAGGAUAAAUGGAACACGGAACAGAACCAGGUGAAGCAUGGUCAGCACAAACUAGGAGCAGAUGAUGAAGGCCAACGACCGCAGCAUGCUCCGCGGGAUGUGGAACAAAUGCACCACAAAGAAACAGAGAGUCAAAAUAAGCAUGAAAAGCCCCUCAAAGAGAUAAAGGUGAGAAGUGGUCAGGAUCAGCAGGUAAUGCAUACAAAGCAGAAUCAAGUCGCCGAUAUGGAUGUGCGUCAAAAGCAAAUUGAGGAUGUACCAACCACUAGUCGUAGCAACCAAGAAAUUCACACUGAAAUGUAUGAAAGGUUUAUCAAUGGCAACCAAGCAAGACGCUCCUUACAGCGGCAUACUAGUCGUGGAGGGGACAAGCAGGAAAAGCAAACUUCAGUUAAAGUAGCAAGUCCUGGGGGAGAUGAGCACCAAAAACAGAAGCGCGCAUAUCCUACCGAUGGAGAAACAAAGACUGUAAAGUUUGUUAUGGGAGAUGACAUAAGGAUUGCACUUGUUCCAGAAGACUGUAGUCUACGGCAAGCGAUAAACGUAGCUCGGUGUAAGUACAGUCCCCACCUGAAGGCAAUGCUUCUUAAGUUUCAGGACAUAGAGGGUGACUUGGUGACCAUUACAUCAACUGAGGAACUAAGGUGGGUUGAGGAUCUGAAGCAAGGACCCGCUCGGCUGUACAUAAAAGAAGUAAGUCCUGAGCGCGAGAUCACCAAGGACAUCGUCAUGCCCAAUAUUUCUACGGCAACACUGGAAAGAAAGCAUAGCAUCUCUGAGUGCGGAAGCGCUAGACACCCAGCAGAAGACAAGAGCUCAUCAUAUGCUGAUGACUGGAUGGUGCAGUUCGCUCGUUUAUUCAAGAACCAUGUUGGUUUUGAUUCUGAUGCAUUAGUGGAUCUCCGUGACCUCGGUACGCGGCUCUGCAUUGAGGCAAUGGAAGACACCAUCACAAGCGAAGAAGCCCAGGAGAUAUUUCAUGCCGCAGAGGCAAAAUUUCAGGAAAUGGCAGCUUUAGCAUUGUUUAACUGGGGCAACAUACACAUGUCUCGCGCAAAGAAACGACUAUUUUUAUCAGAGGAUGCUUCAAAGGACUCUGUACUUUCCCAGGUCAAAACCGCAUAUGAACUGGCAUGCGCUGAAUACGCCAAAGCUGGAAAGAAGUUUGAAGAUACUGUGGAUGUAAAGCCAGACUUUUAUGAAGGCCUUAUUGCGCUUGGAAAUCAACAGUUUGAGCAAGCAAAACUUUCUUGGCGUUAUGCAGAUGCUUGUAAGGUAGACAUGCGAACUGAAGUACUAGAGCUAUUCAAUCGUGCUGAGGAUAAUAUGGAAAAAGGAAUGGAGAUGUGGGAGGGAAUAGAAUACUUGCGACUAAAAGGGUUAUCUAAAUCAAAAAAGGAGAAAAUCCUACUGGAUAAGUUGGGAUUGGAUGGGCACCAAAAAGAUAUAACAGCAGAUGAGGCGUUUGAGCAAGCUUCAAAUAUGCGAUCACAGCUAAACAUUUCAUGGGCUACCAUUCUUUAUGAGCGAUCAGUAGUAGAAUUCCAGUUAGGUCUUGCUAGCUGGGAGGAGAGUCUCACCGAAGCAAUUGAGAAAUUUAAGACCGGUGGAGCUUCGCUGGCAGAUAUCAGUGUAAUGAUAAAGAACCAUUGUGCGAAUGAGAAAACUCAAGAAGGAUUGAGCUUCAAGAUUGAUGAGAUAGUUCAAGCAUGGAACGAAAUGUACGAUGCUAAAAAGUUGGAAAAUGGUAGUUCUUCUUUCCGUCUUGAACCUUUAUUUCGAAGACAGCCUUCGAAGCUGCAUAAUGUACUAGAGCACAUAAAGUACACAUGA
RNAcentral lists this ribosomal RNA (2808 nucleotides) under Triticum aestivum (bread wheat). Its description in RNAcentral is "partial small subunit ribosomal RNA". Lineage: Eukaryota; Viridiplantae; Streptophyta; Magnoliopsida; Poales; Poaceae. The record is from RNAcentral.